RNAcentral lists this ribosomal RNA (512 nucleotides) under uncultured bacterium. RNAcentral describes it as "bacterial SSU rRNA". It matches the Rfam family "Bacterial small subunit ribosomal RNA", at positions 29 to 524 of the family's 1533-position model. The record is from RNAcentral.
AGUGAACGCUGGCGGCAGGCCUAAUACAUGCAAGUCGAACGGCAGCACAGCAGAGCUUGCUCUGUGGGUGGCGAGUGGCGGACGGGUGAGGAAUACGUGGGAAUCUGCCCAGUCGUGGGGGAUAACGUAGGGAAACUUACGCUAAUACCGCAUGCGCCCUUCGGGGAAAGCCGGGGACCUUCGGGCCUGGCGCGAUUGGAUGAGCCCACGUCGGAUUAGCUAGUUGGCGGGGUAAAGGCCCACCAAGGCGACGAUCCGUAGCUGGUCUGAGAGGAUGAUCAGCCACACUGGAACUGAGACACGGUCCAGACUCCUACGGGAGGCAGCAGUAGGGAAUAUUGGACAAUGGGCGCAAGCCUGAUCCAGCCAUGCCGCGUGAGUGAAGAAGGCCCUCGGGUUGUAAAGCUCUUUUGUCCGGAAAGAAAAGCGCCGGGUUAAUACCCUGGUGUCCUGACGGUACCGGAACGAAGUAAGACACCCGGCGUAAACUUCGUGCCAGCAGCCGCGGUAAU